CACCAUGUUAUCUCCAACAUGCAGUCUCAACACAACAAUGCCACUCCACGACGCACUCUUCCCUUCUCCGGGCCCUCUCAUUCCUGCUCAGUUUCCCACCGUAAUUAGACAUUCUCUUCUAAAACCAGUUGAUGGCCACCUCACUUUUGCCAUGGCGCCCACUCUCCUUCCCACUAAACUUUCACACAGACCUUCAAUCAGGAAUCCCCCGCCAACCGCCCCGCUCUCAGCCCUAAUCCCUCCCCUGUGUUCAUGUCGAUCCACCACCAUCAUGAAGGCAAAUGAUAGGUCGAGAAUGGGAGGAGAAAUUUUGCGGCGGCAACGCAACCUCCACAGUAGAGAAACCCUACACAUGAGGGAACAAGACAUGAGUAGCUUGUGAGGGCAGAUCGAAUCAGAAUAAAAAAUCAAUAAAAUCAGUGCAUGCGAGGUGGGAAGGUGGAGAUGAAACUAACGAAAUGAUCGAAAGGAAGGGAAGCGGACGAAACAACCUACACACUCCUCUUUGAUAGUAGAGAUGAUGAUAUAUAGAUCAUACAUAACUGAAUUCCCAUGCAUUGCUACAGAGAGAAAAAAUCACCCAAUGCAACUUGCUUGUUUCUAAAUUAAACUUGGAUACCUUAUUCCACCCUUAACUCAUAACUCUCCUGCCACCCAAGUACCAACUUAAACCUACUUUAGUCUUAUAGUCCAAAGGCAUUGAUUGCUCAUAAAAUACUCCUUAAUAUCAUCUUUCUUAUGCAUGAUCAAAAACCUAGUGCUUGCAAAAAUAUAUGCAUAAGGACAAACAUUAUAGAACUCUGUCGGCAUGUUUGAUUGAAAAAUUGGAACCACUAUAAUUAUAACCUCAAUGGCCGAGUAACAUAAUUUAGUUUAUCGUGUAUGCAUGAAAAGAAUAGCCAUGGUUAUUGGUUAAGUCGUCAUAAUGUGCAAAAAAAUCUUAGCAACUACACAAUUUGUAGAAUGGAAGACAAAGAGAGAUGAUGAUUAGUUAAUAAAACAUAAUAGUAGCAUGUGUCAUGACAUGAUCAAUAUGUGGUGUUAUGUCUACUCCCCUAAAGUGUGAUUCCACUCUCCUUAUAUUAUUUUUUGAAACUAAAAAGACAAAGUAGUGGGUAAUCAUUCAUCACUCAUCACCCCUUGAAACCUUAGGAUAACAUCAGUAUCAAUUUAAGGUGGCAGAACCCGCAAUAUACUACACACUCCUGUGCUAAUCUAAUUCAAUCAAAACACUAAAAAGUGCAGGUUUUGCCUCCCCAUCCCAAAGCCACAUUAAGGGGAAAAACAUUUCAAGAACAACACGUGUGGAAAGUAAAGGGAAUUACCUGGAGGAUAAACAAGAUUAAUGAGAA
RNAcentral lists this long non-coding RNA (1352 nucleotides) under Triticum aestivum (bread wheat). RNAcentral's name for it is "long non-coding RNA (TAES_LNC007845)". Lineage: Eukaryota; Viridiplantae; Streptophyta; Magnoliopsida; Poales; Poaceae. The record is from RNAcentral.